AAUUUACCUAGAUCCUGGCUUAACCUGCUGUCCAGUAAAACUGCUAUUCCACCAGAAACUCCAUCAGGUCUACGAUCUACACAUCAUUUGAACAUCACUAGUAUCUACCAUGUUCAACUAAUCACAAUGCUCUGUGUGCCGCGUUUGAAAAUCUUACAUUUCCCAGAGACACGUUAACCAUCAUUAUUGAGAACCCAGUCUCAGGAAAAUAUCGACCAAUGAUGAUCACAGAGGAUAAAGUGUUUGUAAAACCUUCCUAUGUUUCUACUGAGCAGAAAAUUCUCAACUUUGGGCCAUCAUGUUGAUGAGACUAUGUCACUGUGGCUUCUGAAAUGACUAGGAGAAACAACUGACAGCACACAUCCUGACUCUCUGGCUUUUACAAUCUGUCUGUCACCUCUUCUGCAAUAUCCCCUAUGCAGUAGUGGUGGACAAGAACUUGUAACCUGGAUCAGCAAGGUGGAAUUGCACAUUGCCAGAUGCAGAGUGACCAUCAACCAUUCCAAUUUUUGUGAUCUUGUGAUCUGCUCCAACAGAAAGAACAGAUUUCCAGAGUCCUUAGGUAUGAGGGGCUGUGAAGACCGGAGGUUCUGUCUGCUAAAUAAUUAAGGUGUGUUACAGCGGCCCAUCAUUUAAGCCCAGGGUGAACAACUCUGAUGUGUAACCCUAAUUUGGCUAUUAUCUGCUAAUGAAGUCAUGUUUUGUCAUGCUGCAUCAGUAUUUAUACUCUUCUUAAUGUGUUGUCUUCCCUUUUUCCCCACAGGUUAUAUUCUUUAAUAAAGAUUUCUUGCUCAAAAUCAUCUCAGCAUCUACUUCUGGAAAAUCCAACAAUCAAUACUACCAUUUUCACAGACUGAGUUGUAAAGGUUCCCCAUAUUCCCACUGGGCUGUAACUGAACAUAUUUCCCUGGGUACCAUUGCCUCACUGAUAAUCCAUGAAAACAGCUUUCAAAAGCAGAACAGAAAAGCACACAGUACAAACGCUAAAAAUUUAAUGCAACAAAUGGCACAAGAGAUGUGUUUAUUUACAACAGCUACCUUCUAUUUACACUUUAUCCAACUCCUCUUUCCAAAUUUAUACAUUGGCUCUCAAUAAGCUAUUUUGCUUCAAGAACUGCUACGGGCAUUUGGGGAUUAAAAUGUUGCUUGCCAGAUGUAUUUCCUCAUUUACACUGGGUACCAAAAAAAAAAAAAAAAAAUCACAGGUCUUAACAUCACUACUUAGAGGAUUCUACCUGUGGAAAACUCCUAUAUGAUAAAGCCUCAAUGGCAUGCUAUUUUUCUUUAGGGGGUUAAAAAAAAAAAAAGAUGUGAUUUUUUUUUCAUCUUUCUUUUUCUUUCUGGGCCAGAGAGGGGAAUAAAGUCCAAAAGGACCACUAUUUUAGCAAAAACAAUGCUUCUUGUAUGAAAAUGUCUUAGGGGUUUUGAGCAUGACACUAAUCUGGAUUCCACAGAUUUGAUUUUGUGGAAUCUCCUUCAGGAAAGUACAUUUGUGUUCUGGAUUUAAUGCGUAUUUUUCUGCUAAAGUAUACAGAAUAUAGAGGACUCUGUAUAUAGUUACAAUAUUUUCUUCCAGAAAGCAUUUGACGCACAUUAUAAGCCUUAAUGCCCACACCUGCACCCUACAUAGUCCCUCAUUCUGGACACCUGAUGCUUUGGGUCAUCUAGGGUGUAUUUGAAAUUGUUUCAGACUUCUAUCUUGAAAUUACUGCUACGAUUUUCCUUACAUACAACUACUUUUCUAUAUAUUCUAUAAAUAGCACCAUGUAAAACUCUUCAGUGAUUAAUUUAAAUUUUAAGUAUAUAUGGUAGAUACUAAAUGUUCAAAGUAAAACUGUUCCACAAUCCCUAGUUACUGAUCUGGUCUAGUAGCAUUUAGUCAUUGCUUAAAAAUAUUUUGUUAUUUUCUUUGCAAAUGUCUGCUCAUGUUUCAAGGCAAAUGAUUAAACCUUUUUAAAUGUUCCCAUUGUACCAGAAAAUAAAAUAAGCAAAUCCCUCUGAGCUUAAUUACCUUAGAGAAGAUUGCACAGGUGAUAUGAAGAAGGUCUUUCAAGCAUUCUGUGGUAUUUUUCCUUUUUUUGUUUUUUGUUUAU
Molecule: long non-coding RNA, 2093 nt
Organism: Onychomys torridus (southern grasshopper mouse)
Lineage: Eukaryota; Metazoa; Chordata; Mammalia; Rodentia; Cricetidae
Exons: 4
Source: RefSeq, a predicted model, not a curated record